GACGAACGCUGGCGGCGUGCCUAAUACAUGCAAGUAGAACGCUGAAGGAGGAGCUUGCUCUUCUGGAUGAGUUGCGAACGGGUGAGUAACGCGUAGGUAACCUGCCUGGUAGCGGGGGAUAACUAUUGGAAACGAUAGCUAAUACCGCAUAACAGUAGAUGUUGCAUGACAUUUACUUAAAAGGUGCAAUUGCAUCACUACCAGAUGGACCUGCGUUGUAUUAGCUAGUUGGUGGGGUAACGGCUCACCAAGGCGACGAUACAUAGCCGACCUGAGAGGGUGAUCGGCCACACUGGGGCUGAGACACGGCCCAGACUCCUACGGGAGGCAGCAGUAGGGAAUCUUCGGCAAUGGACGGAAGUCUGACCGAGCAACGCCGCGUGAGUGAAGAAGGGUUUCGGAUCGUAAAGCUCUGUUGUAAGAGAAGAACGAGUGUGAGAGUGGAAAGUUCACACUGUGACGGUAGCUUACCAGAAAGGGACGGCUAACUACGUG
RNAcentral lists this ribosomal RNA (495 nucleotides) under uncultured bacterium. Its description in RNAcentral is "partial 16S ribosomal RNA". It matches the Rfam family "Bacterial small subunit ribosomal RNA", at positions 28 to 507 of the family's 1533-position model. The record is from RNAcentral.